Molecule: non-coding RNA, 29 nt
Filed under: Macaca fascicularis (crab-eating macaque)
Lineage: Eukaryota; Metazoa; Chordata; Mammalia; Primates; Cercopithecidae
Also listed under: 1 other name
Source: RNAcentral
UGGAACAGGAGUGAAGCAGAUGAGGUUGA